UAUGUGACGAAUAUGACGGUAGCAUAUGAAUAAGGAUCGGCUAACUCCGUGCCAGCAGCCGCGGUCGUACGGAGGAUCCAAGCGUUAUCCGGAAUUACUGGGCGUAAAGAGUUGCGUAGGUGGCAGAGUGUGUCGGUAGUGAAAGCGUGUGGCUCAACCAUAUAUACAUUACCGAAACUGCUCAGCUAGAGGGCGAGAGAGGUUACUGGAAUUCCCAGUGUAGGAGUGAAAUCCGUAGAUAUUGG
RNAcentral lists this ribosomal RNA (245 nucleotides) under uncultured Candidatus Saccharibacteria bacterium. RNAcentral describes it as "partial 16S ribosomal RNA". It matches the Rfam family "Bacterial small subunit ribosomal RNA", at positions 439 to 700 of the family's 1533-position model. The record is from RNAcentral. Lineage: Bacteria; Candidatus Saccharimonadota.